UACAGAGGGUGCAAGCGUUGUCCGGAAUCAUUGGGCGUAAAGCGCGUGUAGGCGGCUCGGUAAGUCCGCUCUGAAAGUCCAGGGCUCAACCCUGGGAUGCGGGUGGAUACUGCCGGGCUCGAGUCCGGAAGAGGCGAGUGGAAUUCCCGGUGUAGCGGUGAAAUGCGCAGAUAUCGGGAGGAACACCAAUGGCGAAGGCAGCUCGCUGGGACGUGACUGACGCUGAGACGCGAAAGCGUGGGGAGCAAACAGG
This 253-nucleotide ribosomal RNA is filed under the name uncultured bacterium. RNAcentral's name for it is "partial 16S ribosomal RNA". It matches the Rfam family "Bacterial small subunit ribosomal RNA", at positions 524 to 776 of the family's 1533-position model. The record is from RNAcentral.